This 650-nucleotide ribosomal RNA is filed under the name Bacillus sp. YIM KMY15. Its description in RNAcentral is "bacterial SSU rRNA". It matches the Rfam family "Bacterial small subunit ribosomal RNA", at positions 28 to 661 of the family's 1533-position model. The record is from RNAcentral. Lineage: Bacteria; Bacillati; Bacillota; Bacilli; Caryophanales; Bacillaceae.
GACGAACGCUGGCGGCGUGCCUAAUACAUGCAAGUCGAGCGAACAGAAGGGAGCUUGCUCCCGGAUGUUAGCGGCGGACGGGUGAGUAACACGUGGGUAACCUGCCUGUAAGACUGGGAUAACUCCGGGAAACCGGAGCUAAUACCGGAUAGUUCCUUGAACCGCAUGGUUCAAGGAUGAAAGACGGUUUCGGCUGUCACUUACAGAUGGACCCGCGGCGCAUUAGCUAGUUGGUGGGGUAAUGGCUCACCAAGGCGACGAUGCGUAGCCGACCUGAGAGGGUGAUCGGCCACACUGGGACUGAGACACGGCCCAGACUCCUACGGGAGGCAGCAGUAGGGAAUCUUCCGCAAUGGACGAAAGUCUGACGGAGCAACGCCGCGUGAGUGAUGAAGGUUUUCGGAUCGUAAAGCUCUGUUGUUAGGGAAGAACAAGUGCGAGAGUAACUGCUCGCACCUUGACGGUACCUAACCAGAAAGCCACGGCUAACUACGUGCCAGCAGCCGCGGUAAUACGUAGGUGGCAAGCGUUGUCCGGAAUUAUUGGGCGUAAAGGGCUCGCAGGCGGUUUCUUAAGUCUGAUGUGAAAGCCCCCGGCUCAACCGGGGAGGGUCAUUGGAAACUGGGAAACUUGAGUGCAGAAGAGGAGAG